This 91-nucleotide microRNA precursor is filed under the name Ailuropoda melanoleuca (giant panda). RNAcentral describes it as "mir-544 microRNA precursor family". It matches the Rfam family "mir-544 microRNA precursor family". The record is from Rfam by way of RNAcentral. Lineage: Eukaryota; Metazoa; Chordata; Mammalia; Carnivora; Ursidae.
GUCACCUGGGGAGCUUGUUAAAUGCAGAGUCGGAUCCAACAGGUCCGGGCCUGAGAUUUUGCAUAUCUAACAAGCUCCCAGGUGAUGCCAA